CGGACAUUUGCGCAGGUUGCAGCAUCCGUCGAUUUGGGCUCGAAGCCGCCGUUCGCUGUGCGAGCCAUUGAUGGCGGU
This 78-nucleotide transfer RNA is filed under the name Antarctobacter albus. RNAcentral describes it as "Mameliella alba tRNA-Pro". Lineage: Bacteria; Pseudomonadati; Pseudomonadota; Alphaproteobacteria; Rhodobacterales; Roseobacteraceae. The record is from RNAcentral.